This 1434-nucleotide ribosomal RNA is filed under the name Weissella confusa. RNAcentral's name for it is "bacterial SSU rRNA". It matches the Rfam family "Bacterial small subunit ribosomal RNA". Lineage: Bacteria; Bacillati; Bacillota; Bacilli; Lactobacillales; Lactobacillaceae. The record is from RNAcentral.
ACGCUUUGUGGUUCAACUGAUUUGAAGAGCUUGCUCAGAUAUGACGAUGGACAUUGCAAAGAGUGGCGAACGGGUGAGUAACACGUGGGAAACCUACCUCUUAGCAGGGGAUAACAUUUGGAAACAGAUGCUAAUACCGUAUAACAAUGACAACCGCAUGGUUGUUAUUUAAAAGAUGGUUCUGCUAUCACUAAGAGAUGGUCCCGCGGUGCAUUAGCUAGUUGGUAAGGUAAUGGCUUACCAAGGCGAUGAUGCAUAGCCGAGUUGAGAGACUGAUCGGCCACAAUGGGACUGAGACACGGCCCAUACUCCUACGGGAGGCAGCAGUAGGGAAUCUUCCACAAUGGGCGAAAGCCUGAUGGAGCAACGCCGCGUGUGUGAUGAAGGGUUUCGGCUCGUAAAACACUGUUGUAAGAGAAGAAUGACAUUGAGAGUAACUGUUCAAUGUGUGACGGUAUCUUACCAGAAAGGAACGGCUAAAUACGUGCCAGCAGCCGCGGUAAUACGUAUGUUCCAAGCGUUAUCCGGAUUUAUUGGGCGUAAAGCGAGCGCAGACGGUUAUUUAAGUCUGAAGUGAAAGCCCUCAGCUCAACUGAGGAAUUGCUUUGGAAACUGGAUGACUUGAGUGCAGUAGAGGAAAGUGGAACUCCAUGUGUAGCGGUGAAAUGCGUAGAUAUAUGGAAGAACACCAGUGGCGAAGGCGGCUUUCUGGACUGUAACUGACGUUGAGGCUCGAAAGUGUGGGUAGCAAACAGGAUUAGAUACCCUGGUAGUCCACACCGUAAACGAUGAGUGCUAGGUGUUUGAGGGUUUCCGCCCUUAAGUGCCGCAGCUAACGCAUUAAGCACUCCGCCUGGGGAGUACGACCGCAAGGUUGAAACUCAAAGGAAUUGACGGGGACCCGCACAAGCGGUGGAGCAUGUGGUUUAAUUCGAAGCAACGCGAAGAACCUUACCAGGUCUUGACAUCCCUUGACAACUCCAGAGAUGGAGCGUUCCCUUCGGGGACAAGGUGACAGGUGGUGCAUGGUUGUCGUCAGCUCGUGUCGUGAGAUGUUGGGUUAAGUCCCGCAACGAGCGCAACCCUUAUUACUAGUUGCCAGCAUUCAGUUGGGCACUCUAGUGAGACUGCCGGUGACAAACCGGAGGAAGGUGGGGAUGACGUCAAAUCAUCAUGCCCCUUAUGACCUGGGCUACACACGUGCUACAAUGGCGUAUACAACGAGUUGCCAACCCGCGAGGGUGAGCUAAUCUCUUAAAGUACGUCUCAGUUCGGAUUGUAGGCUGCAACUCGCCUACAUGAAGUCGGAAUCGCUAGUAAUCGCGGAUCAGCACGCCGCGGUGAAUACGUUCCCGGGUCUUGUACACACCGCCCGUCACACCAUGAGAGUUUGUAACACCCAAAGCCGGUGGGGUAACCUUCGGGAGCCAGCCG